CCUGUCCCAGUUCGGACUGGAGUCUGCAACCCGACUCCACGAAGUUGGAUUCGCUAGUAAUCGCGCAUCAGCCAUGGCGCGGUGAAUACGUUCCCGGGCCUUGUACACACCGCCCGUCAAGCCAUGGGAGCCGGGGCGCCUGAAGUCCGGGACCGCGAGGACCGGCCUAGGGCGAAACUGGUAACUGGGCUAAGUCGUAACAAGGUACC
Molecule: ribosomal RNA, 209 nt
Filed under: uncultured bacterium
Lineage: Bacteria
Description: partial 16S ribosomal RNA
Rfam family: Bacterial small subunit ribosomal RNA
Source: RNAcentral